RNAcentral lists this ribosomal RNA (341 nucleotides) under uncultured Anaerolineaceae bacterium. Its description in RNAcentral is "bacterial SSU rRNA". It matches the Rfam family "Bacterial small subunit ribosomal RNA", at positions 1028 to 1382 of the family's 1533-position model. The record is from RNAcentral. Lineage: Bacteria; Bacillati; Chloroflexota; Anaerolineae; Anaerolineales; Anaerolineaceae.
GUUGCACGAGGUGUUGCAUGGCUGUCGUCAGCUCGUGUCGUGAGAUGUUCGGUUAAGUCCGCUAACGAGCGCAACCCUCGCUGUAUGUUACAUGUGUCAUACAGGACCGCCGGUAUCAAGCCGGAGGAAGGUGGGGAUGACGUCAAGUCCGCAUGGCCUUUAUGUCCGGGGCUACACACACGCUACAAUGGUCGGUACAAUGGGUUGCUAAGCCGCGAGGUGGAGCCAAUCCCCCAAAGCCGGCCUCAGUUCAGAUUGCAGGCUGCAACUCGCCUGCAUGAAGCUGGAGUUGCUAGUAAACGCGCGUCAGCUAUAGUGCGUUGAAUACGUUCUCGGGCCUU